Molecule: long non-coding RNA, 421 nt
Filed under: Carica papaya (papaya)
Lineage: Eukaryota; Viridiplantae; Streptophyta; Magnoliopsida; Brassicales; Caricaceae
Description: long non-coding RNA (CPAP_LNC009710)
Source: RNAcentral
AGAAAAUUAGACAGUGAGAGAAAUAAAACGUAGAUAUAAAUAUAUAUAUAUAUAUAUAUUUCCUUUCUAUAUGAAAGAAAUUAAAAAAACCGAGGAGCUAAAGAAAAUGAUCACCAAAUUUAAAGAAAAAAAAAAAAUCUUUUCCCGCUCUGUACUAUUUUCUUUUCUUGUUCAUCAAGAAUGCCCCAAGAAACAUGGUUUCUUUUUUUAUCUUUUUACCAGUGUAAUUACAUAAUUAACAAAAAAAAGGAGAAAAAAAAAAUGGGAAUGGGUAUAUUUUUUCUUUUCUUUUUCUCUUUUGGCUUUUGGGUCAAGGCGGCGCUGGGAAAUUUCUGCUUACAUGACGGUGGAGUGGUGGUGGCGCCGCCUGUUUCUUGAGAGACAGAAAACGGGAGUUGGACGGAGAGAAAAUGUAAUGGUC